RNAcentral lists this ribosomal RNA (273 nucleotides) under uncultured bacterium. RNAcentral's name for it is "partial 16S ribosomal RNA". It matches the Rfam family "Archaeal small subunit ribosomal RNA", at positions 474 to 747 of the family's 1478-position model. The record is from RNAcentral.
UACCAGCACCCCGAGUGGUCGGGACGAUUAUUGGGCCUAAAGCAUCCGUAGCCGGUUCUACAAGUCUUCCGUUAAAUCCACCUGCUUAACAGUUGGGCUGCAGAGGAUACUAUAGAGCUAGGAGGCGGGAGAGGCAAGCGGUACUUAGUGGGUAGGGGUAAAAUCCGUUGAUCCACUGAAGACCACCAGUGGCGAAGGCGGCUUGCCAGAACGCGCUCGACGGGGAGGGAUGCAAGCUGGGGGAGCAAACCGGCUUAGAUACCCCUGUAGUCC